RNAcentral lists this ribosomal RNA (519 nucleotides) under Triticum aestivum (bread wheat). Its description in RNAcentral is "partial small subunit ribosomal RNA". The record is from RNAcentral. Lineage: Eukaryota; Viridiplantae; Streptophyta; Magnoliopsida; Poales; Poaceae.
AUGGUUGUGGUCACUCCCUCUGCGCUGAGGCACGGGACAAGCUCCAUCAUGGAUUUGGAACCGAAGGAAACAUAUCUUUUCCUCAAUGAUACCCCAGCCAUACUCGACCUCCUAGACAUGAUCGACUGCGUCUUUUGGCAUCUAGUUUGGUUCAAGGCGCUGUCAUGGAUAAGAUCUACGGCAACAGCGGCAUCUCCGGCGGGCGGCGAAGAAUUCGCUGACUUGUUGAGAACAAUGGUUGUGGCCACUCCCUCUGCGCUGAGGCACGGGACAAGCUCCAUCAUGGAUUUGGAACCGAAGGAAACAUGUCUUUUCCUCAAUGAUACCCCAUCCAUACUCGACAUCCUAGACACGAUCGAGGAGGCAAACCCUUGGGUCACACCGUCCUGCCCAAUGGUUAGACUUAGGGCUCUUUUUGUUCACUUGGCUGUAGCCUACUGCAGACUCGUAAAUAACACUUUUCCAGCUCUAUCAGUACAACAAGGCAUAAUGCUUGUUGUGUUUUCUCGGGGGAAAUAA